This 253-nucleotide ribosomal RNA is filed under the name uncultured bacterium. RNAcentral's name for it is "partial 16S ribosomal RNA". It matches the Rfam family "Bacterial small subunit ribosomal RNA", at positions 524 to 776 of the family's 1533-position model. The record is from RNAcentral.
CACGUAGGCACCAAGCGUUGUCCGGAUUUACUGGGCGUAAAGGGCGCGUAGGCGGCAUGACAAGUCACUUGUGAAAUCUCCGGGCUUAACUCGGAACGGUCAAGUGAUACUGUCGCGCUAGAGUGCGGAAGGGGCAAUCAGAAUUCUUGGUGUGGCGGUGAAAUGCGUAGAUAUCAAGAGGAAUACCUGAGGUGAAGACGGGUUGCUAGGCCGACACUGACGCUGAAGCGCGAAAGCCAGGGGAGCAAACGGG